GGCGGCGUAGCUCAGUUGGUCAGAGCACGCGGUUCAUACCCGCGGAGUCGCUGGUUCGAGUCCAGCCGCCGCUACCA
RNAcentral lists this transfer RNA (77 nucleotides) under Limnochordales bacterium. RNAcentral describes it as "tRNA-Met". It matches the Rfam family "tRNA". From Rfam's summary of the family: Transfer RNA (tRNA) molecules are approximately 80 nucleotides in length. Their secondary structure includes four short double-helical elements and three loops (D, anti-codon, and T loops). Further hydrogen bonds mediate the characteristic L-shaped molecular structure. tRNAs have two regions of fundamental functional importance: the anti-codon, which is responsible for specific mRNA codon recognition, and the 3' end, to which the tRNAs corresponding amino acid is attached (by aminoacyl-tRNA synthetases). tRNAs cope with the degeneracy of the genetic code in two manners: having more than one tRNA (with a specific anti-codon) for a particular amino acid; and 'wobble' base-pairing, i.e. permitting non-standard base-pairing at the 3rd anti-codon position. RNAcentral also lists the same sequence under 3 other names. Lineage: Bacteria; Bacillati; Bacillota; Limnochordia; Limnochordales. The record is from RNAcentral.